ACUCCUUCUCCUCCUCUCCCCCUACUCGUGCUCCUGAGAUAUUUUAAUUUCUUCUUUUUACUAUCUCACGAUUUAAUCUCUCUGUAUACGUGAAUCAUAAUUUUAUCAGGUUCUUCUUCCUCUUCUGCUUCAACUAGAUCCAUCAACAACAUCAAUUCUUGAACAUAUAUUCUGAAUCGAUGAAGAAGAUUCGAUGAAGAUCAUCAACAACAUAAAACGAAGAUUCAUCAACAAAAAAUGAAUCGAAAUAUGGCUAUAAUCUCUCCUUGUUGUUUUAUUAGUUUAAUAGAUUAACUUCUCCGUCUUAAAUUGAAAUUUCAGAAAAAUAAUAUUUUCUAUGUUGGUAACCUAACUGCUUUUGUUUCAUCUUGUCUCUCUUUUCUCAUUUAUGAUAAGAGUUGAUAUCUACAUUAAUCUCAUUUUGAUCUUCUUUUGAGAUAAAAUUUCCGAAAAUUUACCAAAAAUAAUUCUAGGGUUCAUGAUUGAGUUUUUUUUAUUUUAGAGUUUGCAUCCAUUGAAACUUGAUUUUUGGCUUGUUAAUUUUGUGUGUUUUUUGUCCUCAGCUGAAUGGGAUUUUUGCUUGGUUGGAUACUGGUGCUUGAGUUGUAUGAUGGAUUUGUUGCAGAGACCCAUCAAGUUAAAUUAGAGAUUUGUUGACUGUGGGGAAGUGCUUGUGCUCUUGAACUAUUAGCUGUUAAGAUAAGUCGAAUAUCGUGCUCAGGGGUGUGUUGUAUCUGACAGACACGGGUCUCAUAGCAAAGGAAAAUUUUAUUGCAUUAUUGCAAAAAUAGUUGAAUCUGAAUGCUAUUUUGGAUUCCAAGGGUUACUUACUUGAUGAAGAUGGAUUCAAUUAUAUGAAAGUGGCACUUGUGAGAGAUUAUCAAGACUUAUACUCAUCAAAGUACUACGAGGAUAUGCAACACAUUGGAAUGCAAGCUGUGAUCUUGCAUUCCCCUGCACAUGUGAUGUUAUAAAUUUUGUCAGCUCAGGUCGUCGUAUAUUGGUAGAAGUCUCAGCUAUGACUUGUACUCAAGCAGUUGAUGUACUGAGGAAAGCUAAUGUUCUUAUUGCUCCAACAAAAGCUGCUUGUACUGGAUGGGGAUGUUGUAUAUGGUUAGAAAUUCAAUGCAUUGCCUGGAAAGCUGACAACAUAGGAGACUUCGGCAGCCACUGUUAUGUUUGAUGAGAUAGUAUUAAACCGAUAUGGACAUGUAUUAUGUAUGUGAAUGUGUCAAAUCAAUAUUUGAGUAUGCUAAAUUUAUACAAAAAUUUUCUUUUGAAUUACUGGUUGCCAUAUAUACAUAGUCGUGAAUUGAGGUGCUAAAUCUGUGGGUUUUUUUUCUUCUACAUGGAUUACAAUGCCGAGAUCUGGAGGUCUAUUAGUGCACAGACCUGAGCAAGUUGAUUCAUUGUAGCAUUCUCUACGAAUAGAAAUACAAUUGUAAAACAGAAGAUGCCGAAAAAUGGCAACUUGUCUUGCUGAUAAAGCAAUUGUGUGUGAAUGGAGAUCAUCUGUUGAGUACUGCAAAUUCUCCUCAGUGUCUGUAGUCAGGAAUGAGCCUUUUUUAUAUCUGUCGAAGCAAAUUCUUCGAGGGAUUUGAGUUUUUCUGUCAUAUGUACAAAAAUUAUUUAUUGAGUAAACCCCCGUAAAUUAAAGUUGAUACCAGGGUUGUUAAGAACACUGAGAGUCUGAGACUAAGAUUCAACU
Molecule: long non-coding RNA, 1708 nt
Organism: Papaver somniferum (opium poppy)
Lineage: Eukaryota; Viridiplantae; Streptophyta; Magnoliopsida; Ranunculales; Papaveraceae
Exons: 8
Source: RefSeq, a predicted model, not a curated record